GGUUGCGGCCAUAUCUAGUAGAAAACACCGUUUCCCGUCCGAUCAACUGUAGUUAAGCUGCUAAGAGCGAGACCGAGUAGUGUAGUGGGAGACCAUACGCGAAACUCUCGUGCUGCAAUCU
Ribosomal RNA from Spathaspora passalidarum NRRL Y-27907, 121 nucleotides. NCBI's taxonomy places the organism in Eukaryota, Fungi, Ascomycota, Pichiomycetes, Serinales, Debaryomycetaceae. The record is from Rfam.